CAUGUGUAGUAAAAAAAAAAAAAAACCUGGAAUGAUACAGAGAAGAUUAGUAUGGUCACUGCACUAGGAUGAGAAAAUACUGACCUAGUACUGACAUUGACUU
Small nuclear RNA from Ochotona princeps (American pika), 103 nucleotides. The record is from RefSeq and is a predicted model, not a curated record. Lineage: Eukaryota; Metazoa; Chordata; Mammalia; Lagomorpha; Ochotonidae.